GGGAAUUGUUCGCAAUGGGCGCAAGCCUGACGACGCAACGCCGCGUGGAGGAUGAAGGUCUUCGGAUUGUAAACUCCUGUUGAUCGGGACGAAAAGCUUCGACCUAACACCUCGACGACUGACGGUAACGGUUGCGGAAGCCACGGCUAACUCUGUGCCAGCAGCCGCGGUAAUACAGAGGUGGCAAGCGGUGUUCGGAAUUACUGGGCGUAAAGGGCGCGUAGGCGGCCUUCUAAGUCGGACGUGAAAGCCCCAGGCUUAACCUGGGAACUGCGUCCGAUACUGGGAGGCUUGGAUUCGGGAGAGGGAUGUGGAAUUCCAGGUGUAGCGGUGAAAUGCGUAGAUAUCCGGAGGAACACCGGUGGCGAAGGCGGCAUCCUGGACCGAGAUCGACGCUGAGGCGCGAAAGCUAGGGGAGCAAAC
Molecule: ribosomal RNA, 423 nt
Filed under: uncultured bacterium
Lineage: Bacteria
Description: bacterial SSU rRNA
Rfam family: Bacterial small subunit ribosomal RNA
Source: RNAcentral